RNAcentral lists this ribosomal RNA (301 nucleotides) under uncultured bacterium. RNAcentral describes it as "partial 16S ribosomal RNA". It matches the Rfam family "Bacterial small subunit ribosomal RNA", at positions 509 to 807 of the family's 1533-position model. The record is from RNAcentral.
CAGUAGCCGCGGUAAUACGUAGGUGGCAAGCGUUGUCCGGAAUUAUUGGGCGUAAAGGGCUCGCAGGCGGUUUCUUAAGUCUGAUGUGAAAGCCCCCGGCUCAACCGGGGAGGGUCGUUGGAAACUGGGAAACUUGAGUGCAGAAGAGGAGAGUGGAAUUCCACGUGUAGCGGUGAAAUGCGUAGAGAUGUGGAGGAACACCAGUGGCGAAGGCGACUCUCUGGUCUGUAACUGACGCUGAGGAGCGAAAGCGUGGGGAGCGAACAGGAUUAGAUACCCCGGUAGUCCCUGUCUCUUAUAC